AACGGCGAGAUCGGGCCUUACUUCCCCACCUUAUGUGGGGUUCGCCAGAGUGACCCAUUCUCCCCGUUCCUCUUUAACAUGGUUGUCGAUGCCCUUUGUGGUAUCCUUGAUAAGGCCAAAGCCUGCGGCCAUAUCCGGGGCGUUGUCCCCCACCUUGUGCACGGAGGAGGGGUCUCCCUCCUCCAAUAUGCGGACGACACCAUUGUCAUGGUG
Molecule: ribosomal RNA, 213 nt
Filed under: Triticum aestivum (bread wheat)
Lineage: Eukaryota; Viridiplantae; Streptophyta; Magnoliopsida; Poales; Poaceae
Description: partial small subunit ribosomal RNA
Source: RNAcentral